RNAcentral lists this long non-coding RNA (1383 nucleotides) under Homo sapiens (human). RNAcentral's name for it is "HSALNT0368340". The record is from RNAcentral. Lineage: Eukaryota; Metazoa; Chordata; Mammalia; Primates; Hominidae.
GUUUACCCGCCGCGCUGCGCGCUCCCGCGGCGCCCCGGAGGGUCUUGCUGCUCUGCGCGUUAGGGCCUCUUGGGGGUGCGGGUUUCCCCCUUUUUUCCAGUCAGAGCUCAGUUUCUCAGCUACCUGUCGCUUAGUCGCUAUCGGUAAUGCCACCCCUUUUCCUCCUUUAUCUUCAGAGCUCAGGCAAGAGUUUAAGUUUCAAGAGAAGAGAAAUAACAAAAAGAACUUAGGAACUCACGCGGUUUGGGUUACUAGAAAAAAAGGGCUUAGACUUCUACGAAUUUUUUUUUUGAUAGGGUCUUGCUCUGACACACAGGCUGGAGUGCAGUGGCGUGAUCACAGCUCACUGCAGCUUCAAACUCCCGGGCUUAAGUGAUCCUCCCACCUCAGCCUCCCAAAGUGCUGACUACGGGCGUGCACCGCCACGCCCAACUUCCUACGAAAUUAUUUUAAAGAUGGUUUUCUAGGGGAACUACAAUGAGUACCCGUAGCGACCUCCAGCUCUCUCUCUGCCUUCCAGCCUUACUCCUUCUAUUGGUUGUAUGAGAAAGACAAGAUCUGGUGCUCUUCGAUGGGGGAGAGAGGGUAGUGGGGUGGGGUGGGAGUUGUGAGUAGCAGGAAGAACUAUGGAAAUUCAUUCCCUGGGAUAUUUCACAGUCUUUAAUGGCUUAUGUUUUUAAGUACUAACCACUUCCCCAAACACAGAUUCAGCUGUCUCUUUCCUUCCUCCACCAAAGAAUUCAGCUCAAAAGUGGUUAUCAGCUUGUCGCUGAUGAACUCUACUGGAUAACUCAUCCUUCUCCAUCAUCAUAGAGCUCUUUUAUGAGUUGAGAAUCUAGCAGGGAAGAUUAUUUUUGUAAAAAGAAAGAAAAGAAGGCCGGGCGCGGUGGCUCACGCCUAUAAUCCCAGCACUUUAGGAGGCCGAGGUGGGUGGAUCACUUGAGAACCAGCCUGACCAACAUGGUGAAACCCCAUCUCUACUAAAAAUACAAAAAUUAGCUGCUGUGGCAUCGGGGGCCUGUAGUCCCAGCUACUUGGGAGGAUCGCUUGAACCCGGGAAGCGGAGGUUGCAGUGAGCUGAGAUCCCGCCACUGUACUGCAGUCUGGGUGACAGAGCAAGACUCUGUCUCAAAAAAGAAAACCAAAAAAAAGGCCGGGCGCGGUGGCUCACGCCUGUAAUCCCAGCACUUUGAGAGACCGAGGCGGGCGGAUCACGAGGUCAGGAGAUCGAGACCAUCCUGGCUAACACGGUGAAACCCCAUCUCUACUAAAAAAUACAAAAAAAAUAGCCGGGCGUGGUGGCGGGGGCCUGUAGUCCCAGCUACUCGGGAGGCUGAGGCAGGAGAAUGGCAUGAACCCGGGAGGCGGAGCUUGCAGAGAGCC